AAGGAAUUGACGGGGGCCCGCACAAACGUUGGAGCAUGUGCUUUAAUUCGAUGAUACGCGAGGAACCUUACCAGGGUUUGACAUAUAGCGGACUGUGGCAGAGAUGUCACAUCCAUUCGGGGCCGUUAUACAGGUGCUGCAUGGCUGUCGUCAGCUCGUGCUGUGAAGUGUUGGGUUAAGUCCCGCAACGAGCGCAACCCCUGCUGUCUAAUACCAGCAUUUAGGGUGGGACCUCAGACGGUACUGCCGGUGACAAACCGGAGCAAGGUGGGCAUGACGUCAAGUCAUCAUGGCCCUUAUGUCAUGGGCAACACACGUGCUACAAUGGUCGGUACAGAGUGCGGCGAAACCGCGAGGUGGAGCAAAUCACAGANAACCGGUCUCAGUACGGAUUGGAGUCUGAACUCGACUUCAUGAAGGUGGAAUCGCUAGUAACCGCGCAUCAGCACCGCGCGCUGAAUACGUUCCCGGGCAUUGUACACACCGCCCGUCACACCACCCGAGUUGGGGUACCCGAA
This 518-nucleotide ribosomal RNA is filed under the name uncultured organism. RNAcentral describes it as "bacterial SSU rRNA". It matches the Rfam family "Bacterial small subunit ribosomal RNA", at positions 903 to 1425 of the family's 1533-position model. The record is from RNAcentral.